This 444-nucleotide long non-coding RNA is filed under the name Jatropha curcas. RNAcentral's name for it is "long non-coding RNA (JCUR_LNC002198)". The record is from RNAcentral. Lineage: Eukaryota; Viridiplantae; Streptophyta; Magnoliopsida; Malpighiales; Euphorbiaceae.
UGAUUUCUAAUCCAAUGCACAAUUGAUCACAGACAACUUAUGAUUUAAUUACUCUUUGAAUACUUAACUGAAAUUUAUCAAAAAGCAUGAUAAAUUCCCAAAACUCCCCUAUUUCGUUAACUUGAGCCCAGCACCCUCAUUAACUCUAAUUAUUAAACGAUCGGGUAUUAAGCAAUCCCUCUCAAUUUAAUAAAAGCAUUAAGAAUCAGGAAGUAGUUAAACUUGAACAACAAUUUAUAAAGCAUAAACCAUUUAAUUCAACCCUAUUGUCUCUAUAGAUUAUUACUGAAAACCUGAAAUAUAAUCAAUAAUAUCUAAUUGCUACUAACAUUCAAACUUUCAUAACAAUUACGGAUUAUGAAAUCUGAAAUAGCACUUAAUCCUACCAAACAAUUCACUAAUAGGCCUUUUUAGCAAAGAAUUCAAUAGAAUCAACUCAAUAAG